AAAAAAAAAAGGAAAGUCUUAAUAUAUUCCAAAAUAUUUAUUGUAGUCCUUGUUUUUUACAGUAGGAUAAGACAUGAAAAAGCAGGCACCAAUCAUUUGGGAAAUGGAUGAAUAAAUUGUGGUACAUUAAUGAAAUGGAACAUCAUUGUGUUGCACAAAACAUUGAAGUGGUUGGUAUAUUGAGAGACUGACAGACAAAGAGAGAAAGAA
This 210-nucleotide long non-coding RNA is filed under the name Monodelphis domestica (gray short-tailed opossum). Its description in RNAcentral is "lncRNA (ENSMODG00000043814.1)". Lineage: Eukaryota; Metazoa; Chordata; Mammalia; Didelphimorphia; Didelphidae. The record is from RNAcentral.